Molecule: ribosomal RNA, 465 nt
Filed under: uncultured bacterium
Lineage: Bacteria
Description: SSU rRNA
Rfam family: Bacterial small subunit ribosomal RNA
Source: RNAcentral
AGGACUAACGCUGGCGGCGUGCCUAACACAUGCAAGUCGAACGAGAGUAGCAAUACUCUAGUGGCAGACGGGUGAGUAACACGUGGUCAACCUACCUCUAUGUGGGGGAUAACUAGCCGAAAGGUUAGCUAAUACCGCAUACGAUCGUCGAGCGGCAUCGCUUGACGAUGAAAGGAGCAAUCCGCAGAGAGACGGGACCGCGUCCCCAUUAGCUAGUUGGUGGGGUAAUGGCCUACCAAGGCGACGAUGGGUAGCUGGCUUGAGAGAGCGACCAGCCACACUGGGACUGAGACACGGCCCAGACUCCUACGGGAGGCAGCAGUGAGGAAUUUUCCGCAAUGGGCGAAAGCCUGACGGAGCGACGCCGCGUGUGGGAAGAAGGCCUUCGGGUCGUAACCACUGUCGAAGGGAGAUAUUGACGGUACCCUUGGAGGAAGCCCCGGCUAACUACGCGCCAGCAGCCGC